Molecule: ribosomal RNA, 497 nt
Filed under: uncultured bacterium
Lineage: Bacteria
Description: partial 16S ribosomal RNA
Rfam family: Bacterial small subunit ribosomal RNA
Source: RNAcentral
GAUGAACGCUGGCGGCGUGCCUAAUACAUGCAAGUCGAGCGAACGGACCAGAAGUUUGCUUCUCUGAUGUUAGCGGCGGACGGGUGAGUAACACGUGGAUAACCUACCUAUAAGACUGGGAUAACUUCGGGAAACCGGAUCUAAUACCGGAUGAUAUUUUGAACUGCAUGGUUCAAAAGUUAAAGACGGUAUUGCUGUCACUUAUAGAUGGAUCCGCGCUGCAUUAGCUAGUUGGUAAGGUAACGGCUUACCAAGGCAACGAUGCAUAGCCGACCUGAGAGGGUGAUCGGCCACACUGGAACUGAGACACGGUCCAGACUCCUACGGGAGGCAGCAGUAGGGAAUCUUACGCAAUGGGGGAAAGCCUGACGGAGCAACGCCGCGUGAGUGAUGAAGGUCUUCGGAUCGUAAAGCUCUGUUAUUAGGAGAGAACAUAUGUGUAAGUAACUGUGCAGAUCUUGACGGUACCUAGUCAGAAAGCCACGGCUAACUACGUG